RNAcentral lists this ribosomal RNA (548 nucleotides) under bacterium KmC. RNAcentral's name for it is "bacterial SSU rRNA". It matches the Rfam family "Bacterial small subunit ribosomal RNA", at positions 28 to 571 of the family's 1533-position model. The record is from RNAcentral. Lineage: Bacteria; Pseudomonadati; Bacteroidota.
GAUGAACGCUAGCGGCAGGCCUAACACAUGCAAGUCGAACGGUAACAGCAGAGCUUGCUCUGGCUGACGAGUGGCGCACGGGUGCGUAACGCGUAUACAAUCUGCCUAUUACUGGGGUAUAGCCCGAAGAAAUUUGGAUUAACCCCCCAUAGUAUUGAGAUAAGGCAUCUUAUUUCAAUUAAAACCACGGUGGUAAUAGAUGAGUAUGCGUCCUAUUAGUUUGUUGGUAAGGUAACGGCUUACCAAGACUUCGAUAGGUAGGGGUCCUGAGAGGGAGAUCCCCCACACUGGUACUGAGACACGGACCAGACUCCUACGGGAGGCAGCAGUGAGGAAUAUUGGACAAUGGAGGCAACUCUGAUCCAGCCAUGCCGCGUGCAGGAAGACUGCCCUAUGGGUUGUAAACUGCUUUUAUAGAGGAAGAAACCUCCCUUCGUGAAGGGAAUUGACGGUACUCUACNAAUAAGGAUCGGCUAACUCCGUGCCAGCAGCCGCGGUAAUACGGAGGAUCCAAGCGUUAUCCGGAAUCAUUGGGUUUAAAGGGUCCG